CUUGAUUAAGUGGAACGUGUAUCAUUUCCUAGCCAUUAUACGGAUAUAUUUAUUAUGUCUUAUGGUAUUGGGUUUUGAUGCAAGCUUCUUGAUCAAAGUAUCACGAGUUUGUUAUAUAAUCGCAAACAAAUUCAUUAAUGAGAAAAUGCAUUUAUGUGUUUUUGAUUUAAUAAUUUGGUAUAACUCCAAUUACUCAGGUAUGAUCCAAUUCAAG
This 214-nucleotide ribosomal RNA is filed under the name Drosophila mayaguana. RNAcentral describes it as "partial 28S rRNA". The record is from RNAcentral. Lineage: Eukaryota; Metazoa; Arthropoda; Insecta; Diptera; Drosophilidae.